RNAcentral lists this ribosomal RNA (429 nucleotides) under bacterium. RNAcentral's name for it is "partial 16S ribosomal RNA". It matches the Rfam family "Bacterial small subunit ribosomal RNA", at positions 355 to 776 of the family's 1533-position model. The record is from RNAcentral.
UAGGGAAUCUUCGGCAAUGGGGGCAACCCUGACCGAGCAACGCCGCGUGAGUGAAGAAGGUUUUCGGAUCGUAAAGCUCUGUUGUAAGAGAAGAAAGUGUGUGAGAGUGGAAAGUUCACACAGUGACGGUAACUUACCAGAAAGGGACGGCUAACUACGUGCCAGCAGCCGCGGUAAUACGUAGGUCCCGAGCGUUGUCCGGAUUUAUUGGGCGUAAAGCGAGCGCAGGCGGUUUAAUAAGUCUGAAGUUAAAGGCAGUGGCUUAACCAUUGUUUGCUUUGGAAACUGUUAAACUUGAGUGCAGAAGGGGAGAGUGGAAUUCCAUGUGUAGCGGUGAAAUGCGUAGAUAUAUGGAGGAACACCGGUGGCGAAAGCGGCUCUCUGGUCUGUAACUGACGCUGAGGCUCGAAAGCGUGGGGAGCAAACAGG